Molecule: non-coding RNA, 246 nt
Filed under: Paramoeba aestuarina
Lineage: Eukaryota; Discosea; Flabellinia; Dactylopodida; Paramoebidae
Source: RNAcentral
AAGAAGAAUUAGAAGAUGAAGAAGGUGAUGAUACCGACACUUUUUCUCUCUCUUCUUCUUCUUCUACUUCUUUCUCUUCUUUUUCUUCCUUCUCUUCUCUCCCCUCUCACACUUCCCAAUCUGUUAUACACUCUGGGUGGAUGUUGAAGAGAGGAGGAGGGGCAAAGAAAAAGAAAGAGGGAGGGAAAGGGAGAUGGAGAAAGAGAUUUUUUGUCUUGACAACAGGAGAAUUAAAAUAUUACAAAA